AGAGGGGAGGGGCGCCUGGGUGGCUCAGUCGGUUAAGCGUCUGACUUCAGCUCAGGUCAUGAUCUCGCUGUUAAUGAAUUUGAGCUCCGCGUCAGACUGUGUGCUGAGAGCUCAGAGCCUGGAGUCUGCUUUGGAUUCUGUGUCUCCUUCUCUCACUGCUCUUCCCCUACUCGUGCUCUGUUUCUCUC
This is a long non-coding RNA of Leopardus geoffroyi (Geoffroy's cat), 188 nucleotides long. RefSeq lists it as uncharacterized. The transcript is spliced from 2 exons. The record is from RefSeq and is a predicted model, not a curated record. Lineage: Eukaryota; Metazoa; Chordata; Mammalia; Carnivora; Felidae.